AUUAUGAGUUUGUUCGGACCCCACCUGUUCCUGUUCUUUCUUUUUCUCUCUCCUCUAGGUCUUUCUCUUUCUCUACCUCUUUCUUUUUUCACUUUCAUUCUCUUUCCUUUUUCUUCUCCCAGCCCGUGUGGCAGGAGCAAGCGUCAGAGGGCGCCGGAGCGGGCGGCGGCGCGGCUGGCCACGGGGAGGCGGAAGAUGGUGGC
This 203-nucleotide long non-coding RNA is filed under the name Oryza brachyantha (malo sina). RNAcentral describes it as "long non-coding RNA (OBRA_LNC003020)". The record is from RNAcentral. Lineage: Eukaryota; Viridiplantae; Streptophyta; Magnoliopsida; Poales; Poaceae.